Molecule: ribosomal RNA, 244 nt
Filed under: uncultured crenarchaeote
Lineage: Archaea; Thermoproteati; Thermoproteota
Description: partial 16S ribosomal RNA
Rfam family: Archaeal small subunit ribosomal RNA
Source: RNAcentral
AGCUCUCCGAGUGGUGUGGACGUUUAUUGGGCCUAAGCAUCCGUAGCUGGUCGAACAAGUCCCCUGUUAAACCCACCGAUUUAAUCGUUGGCUUGCGGGGGAUACUGCUCGGCUAGGGGACGAGAGAGGCAGACGGUAUUCCCGGGUAGGGUGAAAUCCUAUAAUCCCGAGAAGACCACCAGUGGCGAAGGCUGUCUGCUAGAACGCGCCCGACGGUGAGGGAUGAAAGCUGGGGGAGCGAACC